This 654-nucleotide long non-coding RNA is filed under the name Nicotiana benthamiana. RNAcentral's name for it is "long non-coding RNA (NBEN_LNC032989)". Lineage: Eukaryota; Viridiplantae; Streptophyta; Magnoliopsida; Solanales; Solanaceae. The record is from RNAcentral.
AACUUUUGAAGACUUCUUGGAAUAAGUCUUAGUCUCCUUGGGUUUGCAAUAGGAGCCUUCUCAGUUUGUUUUGCUGGAUGGACAUGUUCCAUCACCUCUUCGUCCUCCUCAGCCAUAGUUUCUGAACUCUCACCAACCUUCCCCUUUCCUUUCUGUAGUCUUUUCUUCUUACUUUCUUCCAGUGCCCUCUUUAACUCAGCUUCGCUCUCUCUCACUUUGCUUCUUUUUGUUCUAGCCCUAGGUGCAACCUUGGGGAUGCAGUCUUGGAUUUCUUUGAUGGUUUUGCAGCAGUAGGAGUUUUAAGGGAAGAGGACUUUCAUUUCUUGGGGUCAUAGCUAUCAUUUUUGUUCGAAGAAACCUUGGGUUUAGGGGAUUCAACAGGAGGAUUAGAGGAUGAGUUGGUGUUGGGUGACACUGGCGGUGGGGUUCCUGGAUUGUCUUGAGGAUUAGUCAAUUUGGAUGAUGAUUUGUGGAAGGUUUUAAGAAAUUUUGGAAAUUUGUUUUGGGUUUUGGAGAUGAAGGAGAUGAUCAGAGAGUUAGAAGCUAAUGACGGUUAUGAAAUGACUUAAGAGUCUUUUUAAAGAGGAGUAAUUAUUGCUUCAGAAAAAGCACCUUUUCAUGCGUCAGUAGGAGUCUUAUCAGUGUAGAGUUCUG